GGCGAUGUGGCCAAGUGGUAAGGCAGGGGCCUGCAAAGCCCUUAUCCCCGGUUCAAAUCCGGGCAUCGCCUCCA
RNAcentral lists this transfer RNA (74 nucleotides) under Actinomycetes bacterium. Its description in RNAcentral is "tRNA-Cys". It matches the Rfam family "tRNA". From Rfam's summary of the family: Transfer RNA (tRNA) molecules are approximately 80 nucleotides in length. Their secondary structure includes four short double-helical elements and three loops (D, anti-codon, and T loops). The record is from RNAcentral. Lineage: Bacteria; Bacillati; Actinomycetota; Actinomycetes.